Molecule: ribosomal RNA, 253 nt
Filed under: uncultured bacterium
Lineage: Bacteria
Description: partial 16S ribosomal RNA
Rfam family: Bacterial small subunit ribosomal RNA
Source: RNAcentral
UACGUAGGGUGCGAGCGUUGUCCGGAAUUACUGGGCGUAAAGCGCACGUAGGCGGAUUUGUAAGUCAGGGGUGAAAUCCCGGGGCUCAACCUCGGAACUGCCUUUGAUACUGCAAGUCUCGAGUCCGAUAGAGGUGAGUGGAAUUCCUAGUGUAGAGGUGAAAUUCGUAGAUAUUAGGAAGAACACCAGUGGCGAAGGCGGCUCACUGGAUCGGUACUGACGCUGAGGUGCGAAAGCGUGGGGAGCAAACAGG